CACUUUUCAUCCAUUAAUUGUACCUUCUGUAAAUCACAACCCUACUUUGUUCUCAAAAUAGUAUUUUUGUGCUCUAUUUUCUUUUCAUAUUUUAUUGUACCACUAACUAAAUUACUGAAUUCUCAUUUUGUGACUUUGGUCAUGUUUUUCAGAUAUCUUGUUAUGGCGAAAAGAAGAUGUGUGCUUUCAAAGAAGGUUACUGAUGAGCUUUCUUUGUAUUUUUCUUUUUUGGGGGCUCAUUUGUAUCGGUUGCACACUUACCUUUAGUUUAUUUGUUCCAUGUCUUUGCUUUAGAGUAUGGUGCAUGGUAAUUUUAAUUCUUCUAUAAUGCAUGUUGCGAGCUGUGUUCACACCUGCCAUGUACUUCUCAAUUCUUUGUUGCUUGUAUUUGUUUUGCUGGGAAUUUAAUAUUAAAUCUCUGUUCAAAUGUCUUACACGGCCAUGUGACAACUUCAAAACGUUUAGGUUUUAGCUUACCUUAUCCAUCUACAACUGUUAUGGCUAUGCCAAUAUUUUUGGCCGUGAGUGUUCACCUGCUCUGACUACUCGGUCGAGAAGCUUAAGAGGUGCAUAAUUAUAUUUGUUGUGUCACUGUCUAGAUUUGCACAAUUCAAUUAUCGUUAUGUUAGAUUGUUUAGUAAGUGGUGUUCCUAUUAAUUUUUUUAUUGACUGUGGUUUGUAAUUUUCAAAUAAGAAAUCAAUAAAAAGAAAGAUGUGUGUUGUUGUUGUUGACACUGUUGGCUAUUCCAAUCUCAUAGGUGGGCUGCGUGAUCUGGGUUGCCGUUACAUGAUGCGCUAGCACUUGUUGCGAAAUUUGGACUCCGAGGUAUUUUUCUCACAAUGACUUGUAAUCUAAAGUAAGUGGAGAUUCGAAGUGAAUCAUUUCCU
Molecule: long non-coding RNA, 888 nt
Filed under: Salvia miltiorrhiza (redroot sage)
Lineage: Eukaryota; Viridiplantae; Streptophyta; Magnoliopsida; Lamiales; Lamiaceae
Description: long non-coding RNA (SMIL_LNC008301)
Source: RNAcentral